ACGGGAGGCAGCAGUGGGGAAUAUUGGGCAAUGGGCGCAAGCCUGACCCAGCGACGCCGCGUGAGGGAAGAAGGUCUUCGGAUUGUAAACCUCUGUAGACAGGGACGAAGGAAGUGACGGUACCUGUAAAGUAAGCCACGGCUAACUACGUGCCAGCAGCCGCGGUAAUACGUAGGUGGCGAGCGUUAUCCGGAUUUACUGGGUGUAAAGGGUGUGUAGGCGGGGAAUCAAGUCAGAUGUGAAAAUUACGGGCUCAACCCGUAACCUGCAUUUGAAACUGAUUUUCUUGAGUGUGGGAGAGGUAAAUGGAAUUCCCGGUGUAACGGUGAAAUGUAUAGAUAUCGGGAGGAGCACCAGUGGCGAAGGCGGUUUACUGGACCACAACUGACGCUGAGACACGAAAGCGUGGGGAGCAAACAGGAUUAGAUACCCUGGUA
RNAcentral lists this ribosomal RNA (437 nucleotides) under uncultured Oscillospiraceae bacterium. Its description in RNAcentral is "bacterial SSU rRNA". It matches the Rfam family "Bacterial small subunit ribosomal RNA", at positions 341 to 792 of the family's 1533-position model. The record is from RNAcentral. Lineage: Bacteria; Bacillati; Bacillota; Clostridia; Eubacteriales; Oscillospiraceae.